This 1302-nucleotide long non-coding RNA is filed under the name Mytilus galloprovincialis (Mediterranean mussel). Lineage: Eukaryota; Metazoa; Mollusca; Bivalvia; Mytilida; Mytilidae. The record is from RNAcentral.
CAGAAACUGCUGUAAUAGUUUUAUGUGCGUAGUAUUUCUAAUUUAACUUCAGUAUUCUUUCUGGUCUACAGUGACUAUUUAUUAUGGAAAUUAAUUUUUGUUCUUCAAACCAUAAGAAUUUUCAAGUAUUGUAUAAAGCAUGCUUCACAAAAUACUUGCAUUUAGAAUGACUCGUCGCUCUGGUCCGUCAUUUGUAUUGAGCCCGUUCGAAAUAGUUGUUUGUUACUUGAUGAUUUCGGGUUCCUUCGUUUUUAUUUCAUAUACAUUGUGUAGCUCGGGGUCUGAUUCACCCUUGUUUCCACUUAAUCAUGUACACUAUAUUGUUUAAGUUUGUGAAUGUCGACCGCCAAAAUUCCGCUUAAAACUAUUCUAUUUAAGCCAUGUUAUUUUUUCAGUAUAUAUAUAUCUUGAAAUUGUUAACUCUCUCAUAUUUUUUUUCUAAUCUGUAGACUUUACUUCUGGUUGAUCUUUCAAUAUCAUCUAGAGUUCAUUAUUUGUAUGUGUGGACAGGCUACGAAUUUGUGUUAUACCACCAUUGACCUCUGUUCUUGUUGUACCAUAGUCGAUUGAGCAAUGUUUAGGGUGACCAUUAAAACAAUAGCAGAGAUUUGGAAGAGGUUUACAGAAUAGAGAAUAAAAGAAAAAAGAGUUGCGCAAAAUUUGCCAAAAAAAACCAAUAUAGAACAGAGAAAAAUAAAAAUAAAGAAUAAAGAAUAACAGAGCGCUGAAAUGUAUAGAAAAAAGUAAAAAGGGCAAAUUAAAAAAAGAAUAAAAAAGGGUAUGAAAAAUCUAAGAAUAAAAACCGCAGAAAAAUUUACAAGUGAGCAUAAAAGCAACAAAGUAUAUACCUGAACAUGAUUUUGUGAAGGCAAUUUCUAUGUUUCUACUUCUACUUUUAAAAAUAACUAUCCUCUUUUCCUCAUGUCUAAAUUUAACUAGGUCUUCUGUCUAAAAAUAUUUUAUAUUCCCUGAAAACGUGUUUCAUUUUCAGAAAAUAAGGCUGUUCUAAAUGUGCUAGCUACUUUCAUUUUCGUGUUUUUGAUGAUAAAGCUUAUUUUUGUAACCUAAUAUUUAAAAUAAAACAGUGGUCAAGUUUUUGAUGUCUUCUUGUUUCAAUAAAAAAAUAACGGGAAACACAGAAUAAGAGUAAAACGAUACCCAUUCAUUUUUAACAGCACAUUUUAUCAAAUAGAACAAUCACAAAAAGACUAAGUCAAAAUGGCUGUCCAGUUACAUAAAUAUUAGGUGCAAUUUAUAAAAAGAAAAAAAGAAGUUACCACGGGUGUAUAAAAAACAAUGAAA